CAAGAAUCGCUUUAGUAUUCCAAAACUGUUUAAAAAACGAUCACAAGGCACUGGACGGUACGCCAUGCUGGGCAAUACUUAAGCCACUGACGGGUCAUCAUUCCCCAAAUGACUCGCCAGUAAAGGUGCCUAAGGACUAGCGUGCCUUUGUUUUACUCCUAAUGGUCUUAACCCGGCUUCACCCCCCCAGAAUCCGG
This 197-nucleotide small RNA is filed under the name Pseudomonas savastanoi pv. phaseolicola. RNAcentral's name for it is "P16". It matches the Rfam family "RgsA sRNA". Rfam says of the family: P16 sRNA appears to be conserved across several Pseudomonas species and Azotobacter vinelandii. In these species it is consistently located downstream of a predicted TatD deoxyribonuclease gene. RNAcentral also lists the same sequence under 1 other name. The record is from RNAcentral. Lineage: Bacteria; Pseudomonadati; Pseudomonadota; Gammaproteobacteria; Pseudomonadales; Pseudomonadaceae.